This 248-nucleotide ribosomal RNA is filed under the name uncultured Oscillospiraceae bacterium. RNAcentral describes it as "partial 16S ribosomal RNA". It matches the Rfam family "Bacterial small subunit ribosomal RNA", at positions 524 to 771 of the family's 1533-position model. Lineage: Bacteria; Bacillati; Bacillota; Clostridia; Eubacteriales; Oscillospiraceae. The record is from RNAcentral.
UACGUAGGGAGCGAGCGUUAUCCGGAAUUAUUGGGUGUAAAGGGUGCGUAGACGGGAGAGCAAGUUAGUUGUGAAAUCCCUCGGCUUAACUGAGGAACUGCAACUAAAACUACACUUCUUGAGUGCAGGAGAGGUAAGUGGAAUUCCUAGUGUAGCGGUGAAAUGCGUAGAUAUUAGGAGGAACACCAGUGGCGAAGGCGACUUACUGGACUGUAACUGACGUUGAGGCACGAAAGUGUGGGGAGCAA